UGUCGGUCUACGGCCCGAGUGGGCGCCUGUYGCGNNGNUUCUUGSGCACGUKGCAGACCCUCGGUYGCMUGGCYGGCUGCACGACGGUACUCGCACGGUAUCGGGCCGMAACCAAUCCAUUCUCGAAUGUGUGUGCGUCGGGCCCGCCGCAAGCYCGGUCAGUAUACCCGGAGNUGCGGACCUGGCSCGUCCCCGGGCCUGACCAGYUGCUAGCAGGCGGUGUCCUCGGACUGGCCAAGCUUCGAAUUACCGGUCGGCGACGCUAUUGCUUUGGGUACUCUCAGGACCCGUCUUGAAACACGGACCAAGGAGUCUAACAUGUGCGCGAGUCAUUGGGAUGCAUAAACCUAAAGGCGAAAUGAAAGUGAAGGUCGACCUUCGCGUCGACCUAGGGAGGAUGGGCCGCGUUACGAUGCGGCCUCGCACUCACGGGGCGUUUCGUUCUCAUUGCGAGAAGAGGCGCACCUAGAGCGUACACGUUGGGACCCGAAAGAUGGUGAACUAUGCCUGGUCAGGACGAA
This 521-nucleotide ribosomal RNA is filed under the name Epeolus obscuripes. RNAcentral's name for it is "partial 28S ribosomal RNA". It matches the Rfam family "Eukaryotic large subunit ribosomal RNA", at positions 593 to 850 of the family's 3401-position model. Lineage: Eukaryota; Metazoa; Arthropoda; Insecta; Hymenoptera; Apidae. The record is from RNAcentral.